This 46-nucleotide non-coding RNA is filed under the name unclassified sequences. Its description in RNAcentral is "SAM-SAH-Weickhmann-2018 RNA". It matches the Rfam family "SAM/SAH riboswitch aptamer". The record is from RNAcentral.
CUGGCACAACGGCUUCCUGACGUGCGCAGUGUAUUUCAUUGGAGCA